AAGUCGUAACAAGGUUUCCGUAGGUGAACCUGCGGAAGGAUCAUUAACACGUAUCCAACGUAAAAAACCCCCCUGUGAACAUUCAAACCUGCUCUCGUAGCCCAGUGCGACCCAGCAAUCCCGGUAAAUCAUUGUCGAACAGCUUUUGAUUCGGGACUUCUGACAAAUGAGAAGUUACAGUUACGAUAUGGAUAUCUUGGUUCUC
RNAcentral lists this unclassified non-coding RNA (205 nucleotides) under fungal sp. RNAcentral's name for it is "partial internal transcribed spacer region". The stretch from base 1 to 46 matches the Rfam family "Eukaryotic small subunit ribosomal RNA", at positions 1786 to 1831 of the family's 1831-position model. The record is from RNAcentral. Lineage: Eukaryota; Fungi.